UACGUAGGGGGCUAGCGUUGUCCGGAUUUAUUGGGCGUAAAGAGCGUGUAGGCGGCUAGAUAGGUCCGUUGUGAAAACUCGAGGCUCAACCUCGAGACGCCGGUGGAAACCAUCUAGCUAGAGUCCGGAAGAGGAGAGUGGAAUUCCUGGUGUAGCGGUGAAAUGCGCAGAUAUCAGGAAGAACACCCGUGGCGAAGGCGGCUCUCUGGUACGUGACUGACGCUGAGACGCGAAAGCGUGGGGAGCGAACAGG
Molecule: ribosomal RNA, 253 nt
Filed under: uncultured bacterium
Lineage: Bacteria
Description: partial 16S ribosomal RNA
Rfam family: Bacterial small subunit ribosomal RNA
Source: RNAcentral